GAUGAACGUUGGCGGCGUGCCUAAUACAUGCAAGUCGAACGAAGACUGUAGUAAUACUGUCUUAGUGGCGAACGGGUGAGUAACGCGUGGGUGACCUGCCCCGAAGUGUGGGAUAACAGUCCGAAAGGAUUGCUAAUACUGCAUAAUAUCCAAGAGAUUAGAUGCUUUUGGAUUAAAGGAGUAAUUCGCUUCGGGAGGGGCCCGCGUCCCAUCAGCUAGUUGGUAAGGUAAUGGCUUACCAAGGCGGAUGACGGGUAGGGGACCUCGAGAGGGUGGCCCCCCACAAUGGAACUGAAACACGGUCCAGUACACCCUACGGGUGGCAGCAGUAGGGAAUAUUGGACAAUGGGCGCAAGCCUGAUCCAGCAACGCCGCGUGGAGGAUGAAGGCCUUCGGGUUGUAAACUCCUGUUAGGGGGAACGAAGGGUCACGGGUUAACAGCCGGUGACCUUGACGGUACCUCCAGAGGAAGCCCCGGCUAACUCUGUG
RNAcentral lists this ribosomal RNA (489 nucleotides) under uncultured bacterium. RNAcentral describes it as "bacterial SSU rRNA". It matches the Rfam family "Bacterial small subunit ribosomal RNA", at positions 28 to 507 of the family's 1533-position model. The record is from RNAcentral.